UUUCGAGUGUAUUAUUUUGGUAAUAUUACUUUGCUUUGCGCUACCCCAUGGAUUCAUAUUGGCUCAUUAAACUACUUUAUUGAGUUUCUUGGACAUCGUCUCAUCAAAUGAUAUACGACCAAGCUUGCUCCCGACCAAGCACGCUCAGAUUCCUUGGGAGCUCCUGCUAUCGGCAGCCGUCGAUGCAUCAAAUCCCUGAGACGAAGAACAAAAACAGCAUGCCACCUGACUGAUGACCCACCCACUGUCUACCCGGACCCAGGAGCUAGAAGGCCUUGAGAAAAAAGCCCGGGCAGGAUCCUGACGGGCGCAGAAUAUCAUCUUCGAUGCUUGUCCCACGGCCUGACGAAUAAUAUUUAUAUAAUCAAUGGAAGGAAAAAAACAGUAGAACAUUGAAAUUGGCUUGUAGGCAAGACGGAAGAUGGUCAAAACCGGUCAGAAAUUGAUGCCCUAGACACGGUUGGAGAGCUCUUGUUGGCAGAAACCACCUGAAUGGUGAAUGGUGGUGCUGAAUGAUGGUCAGAUGACAUUAGCAACCUUGUGGUGAAACAAUGAACUGGAGCGGCACCGAACUGAAAAAGUUGAAAAACUUGGCAUACAUACUAUGAGACCCAUUUGAUGACUGAUAUAAGCAAAGUUCAGACUGAUUAUUGUGAUAGUUGAUAACUAAGAAUACCUAAUAUGCUUUUAUGGUGUGUGAAAUAGUAUACUUUUUAUAAUUUAUUAAUUAAAAGUUUAAUAAAUGUUUUACUUACCUAAA
Long non-coding RNA from Plutella xylostella (diamondback moth), 760 nucleotides. RefSeq lists it as uncharacterized. Lineage: Eukaryota; Metazoa; Arthropoda; Insecta; Lepidoptera; Plutellidae. The record is from RefSeq and is a predicted model, not a curated record.